This 600-nucleotide ribosomal RNA is filed under the name Saccharothrix xinjiangensis. Its description in RNAcentral is "bacterial SSU rRNA". It matches the Rfam family "Bacterial small subunit ribosomal RNA", at positions 120 to 734 of the family's 1533-position model. Lineage: Bacteria; Bacillati; Actinomycetota; Actinomycetes; Pseudonocardiales; Pseudonocardiaceae. The record is from RNAcentral.
GGUAACCUGCCCUGUACUCUGGGAUAAGCCUGGGAAACUAGGUCUAAUACCGGAUAUGACCUGCCACUGCAUGGUGGUGGGUGGAAAGUUCCGGCGGUACGGGAUGGGCCCGCGGCCUAUCAGCUUGUUGGUGGGGUGAUGGCCUACCAAGGCGACGACGGGUAGCCGGCCUGAGAGGGUGACCGGCCACACUGGGACUGAAACACGGCCCAGACUCCUACGGGAGGCAGCAGUGGGGAAUAUUGCACAAUGGGCGAAAGCCUGAUGCAGCGACGCCGCGUGAGGGAUGACGGCCUUCGGGUUGUAAACCUCUUUCAGCAGGGACGAAGGGCGAGUGACGGUACCUGCAGAAGAAGCACCGGCUAACUACGUGCCAACAGCCGCGGUAAUACGUAGGGUGCGAGCGUUGUCCGGAAUUAUUGGGCGUAAAGAGCUCGUAGGCGGUUUGUUGCGUCGGCCGUGAAAACUUCACGCUUAACGUGGAGCCUGCGGUCGAUACGGGCAGACUUGAGUUCGGCAGGGGAGACUGGAAUUCCUGGUGUAGCGGUGAAAUGCGCAGAUAUCAGGAGGAACACCGGUGGCGAAGGCGGGUCUCUGGGC